CGGAGGGUGGCGGACCGCCAGAAGGGUGGCAGAGGCCGAAGGAGAUGCAAGAGAAAUGGAUUGGGAAGGGCAGGAUCAUCAGAGGACCAACAUCUCCCCAGCAUAAAGACACUAUCGUGGAAAUGCAGAAUGCAUCGGACAAGUACCUAGGCAUGCUGCUGACCACCUGUUGGAUGCUCACCAUGUCCAGCGAAGGGCCAUCACACGCCAGACCAUUGCGCCAGCUCCCUGCGCUGGUUGGAGCCGCUUCUGGGAGUUCAACGGCCUCCUUCCUCCCACUUCUGGCUGGAGAUUCUUCUGGCUGGCAGCAGCACCCUGAAGCCAACACGAGGCUUCUUCCCAUCUUGCACUUUGUCCAGGUGGCACCAGCAGCAGCAGCAGCAGCAGCAGCAGCACCAAUAUUUAUAUACCGCUUUUCAACAAAAGAGAACAAAGCGGUUUACUAUCUAUCUAUCUAUCUAUCUAUCUAUCUAUCUAUCUAUCAUAUUUCUAUGCCGCCUAAUAUGUACAUCUCUAGGCUGUUUACACAGAGAAAUAAUAAAUAAAUGAAUGAAUAAUUGA
This is a long non-coding RNA of Hemicordylus capensis (graceful crag lizard), 561 nucleotides long. RefSeq lists it as uncharacterized. The record is from RefSeq and is a predicted model, not a curated record. Lineage: Eukaryota; Metazoa; Chordata; Lepidosauria; Squamata; Cordylidae. The transcript has 3 exons.